CGACGGUCACAAUUAUUCUUUGAAUAUCUCAAGACUCAAGGUUCCAAUUAAUCGGAAAGAAAUUUAAGGCCAUUUCGUAUUUUAUCCCAGCCAGACUCAUCACAAUCUUCGCUUGGAGUCCGUAUUGCGCGCGGAAGUUGCUUCGUCUCGUCAGCGGCCUCUUCUCUGGUUUCCUGUUUUAUGCUCACAGCCAGGAUAUGACAAGCAUUUUAUCAAGUUACUCCUGCAAUUGGCCAGGAGUUCAGGAGAAUCGUUUUAAGAGCAGAGUUGAUAAUGUUAAAUAUGUAGGAUGUUCAGGCCUACAUUUCCCUUUCGGGGGAUCAGUAUUUGAUGGUCAAUUCCUUGUUCUUGGUGGCUACAGGGAAAGGCCUAGGCUCCAUAGACCUGUAUUUUCCAGUGCAGUGGACGAUGGUAUUGAACCAGAUGACUCAGAAGACAAAAGUAGAGAGGAAGAAUCUCCAAAAAAUGAAAUUGGAAGAGCAAACAAUGAAUUGUUUCGUGAAAAUUUGGAGAGAAUUGUUGGGACAGAUGAUUCAACCUUCAGUGGAAUAGACCUUGCUACUCUUAUUAGAAAUAAGUAUGGGAGGUCCUAUGAUGUUCAAUUAAUAAAGAAGGAGUUCAUGGGAAGAAAUCUCUUGGCAUUAAAUGUAAUGUGGAAAUACAUGGAGCAGAGAUCCUUUCCACUGACUGAGGAAGAGUAUCUACUGAGGCUUGAUGAUAUUGCAAACACACUGAAAUGUUGGGGAGCUGUCUCACAUAUAAGGAAUAGCCUGGCAAAGUCAAAGGAGCGGCCCCGAAUAGGAAAGGCUGUUAGUAUUUUCAUUGAUAUGGAUGAGACUGGAGGCCGUGCAAAUGAGUGGAUUUACAAGUAAAUAAUUUUGGUGAGCCAGAUUUUUUUGGAUUCCCUUCCUCUGUUCCAGUUUUCUUGUAAUGAAAAAUCUCAUGCUUACCCAUGAAAUUGACCUUACUAUCACUCAUCAAAUUUGGUAAGCUUUAUUCAAUUCACUCUACAUUGUGGAAGUAAAAGAUUCAUUGUUUUGUCGAAGUUUCUGAAGCUGGUGGAACAAUGGAGAUAAAGAAGUCUAGGUGUUGAUGGAUUCAAACAACAAAAAAUGAUGAAGGUGAAGAAGAUAUCGUCCAGAAGUUUGUAACCCUUAACCCAGAUGAUCAAAGGAAUAUACAGGCAUAAAGUAAAGAUGCGAAGGGUUCUUCCCACUGGAAGAAGUGCUUAAUCAUUGGAGUUUUGACUGGUCUACCAAUGAAAUAAGCAGGCUAAAGAGAACUUUUGGAGACUCUGUUCCAUCCCGCAUGGUGGACUACCAUAGUGGUUCUUCUCUUUUUCAAUUUCAGUAAAGACUUGAAUGAGACUAUUGUCAAUGGAUGUCCUUGGAGCUUCAACGACAAUUUUAUCAUCAUGGAGAUAUAUUUGCUGAAUUAA
RNA transcript from Nelumbo nucifera (sacred lotus), 1438 nucleotides. RefSeq lists it as uncharacterized. The record is from RefSeq and is a predicted model, not a curated record. Lineage: Eukaryota; Viridiplantae; Streptophyta; Magnoliopsida; Proteales; Nelumbonaceae.